This is a long non-coding RNA of Amphibalanus amphitrite, 346 nucleotides long. RefSeq lists it as uncharacterized. The transcript has 3 exons. Lineage: Eukaryota; Metazoa; Arthropoda; Thecostraca; Balanomorpha; Balanidae. The record is from RefSeq and is a predicted model, not a curated record.
GUUAUUAUAUUUGGUAAAUUUAUGUCUGUGAAUUUUUAGGACACGGUUAAUUUCUUGACGCUCUGGCUGCUCUCGGACGAGGUGUGAAAAUCGGAGGUGUUGUCGUCACCCACCUCUUUUCGGUCUUCAUUCGUUCUUGGUUCGGUUUGGCGCGCGCGUGAUGUCGUUGGGAUGCGGCGUUAUGGCUUGAGGCUUGCGGCGAAGCAUCUUGGCUUGGACUUGGUUUUGGUUUGGUCGUCGUCUUCAGGCUACGGACGCCAAUUUGAUGAAACUUGUGGCAAUACACCACUAGUGAGCAUCUGGCGUGUGGAGGCUUAGCGUUUGGACGAGACGGCGACUACAGUAU